CCUACGGGAGGCAGCAGUGAGGAAUAUUGGUCAAUGGACGCAAGUCUGAACCAGCCAUGCCGCGUGCAGGAAGACGGCUCUAUGAGUUGUAAACUGCUUUUGUACGAGGGUAAACGCAGAUACGCGUAUCUGUCUGAAAGUAUCGUACGAAUAAGGAUCGGCUAACGCCGUGCCAGCAGCCGCGGUAAUACGGAGGAUUCAAGCGUUAUCCGGAUUUAUUGGGUUUAAAGGGGGCGUAGGCGGGCGGAUAAGUCAGAAGUGAAAUCCCUAGGCUCAACUUCGGAAUUGCAUCUGAUACUGUUCGGCUAGAGAAUAGUAGAGGUAGGCGGAAUUCAUGGUGUAGCGGUGAAAUGCUUAGAGAUCAGGCAGAACACCGAUUGCGAAGGCAGCUUACCAGGCUACUACUGACGUUGAGGCACGAAAGCGUGGGGAGCAAACAGGAUUAGAUACCCGAGUAGUC
RNAcentral lists this ribosomal RNA (460 nucleotides) under uncultured bacterium. Its description in RNAcentral is "partial 16S ribosomal RNA". It matches the Rfam family "Bacterial small subunit ribosomal RNA", at positions 338 to 795 of the family's 1533-position model. The record is from RNAcentral.